This 658-nucleotide long non-coding RNA is filed under the name Coturnix japonica (Japanese quail). Its description in RNAcentral is "lncRNA (ENSCJPG00005019882.1)". Lineage: Eukaryota; Metazoa; Chordata; Aves; Galliformes; Phasianidae. The record is from RNAcentral.
GUGCACUGCCACAAUAGACAUUACAUAGAUAACCAAGAGGCUGAAAUUCAUUUUCAUUAAGUUCUUCCAUGAAUAAUUUAGACUUGUAAGAGCAAAGUCGUUCAGUAGCUCACUGAAAGAGAAGGAACAAAUUUCUGUUAACUCUGUCAGCCAGCAUGACUAAUUCCUCCUGCAAUUCAGCCUAUGCAGGAUAUGCACAAUUUUCUCAUCAGUGCUGAGUAAUUUCUCAGGAUCUGGAAUGUGACAGCAUUCAAAUGUGCAUUUGCGAUUCUUCUUCUCAUAAGUGAUAUUGGGUCUGAAGUUCGAAUUGCCCAACUGAAGCUAAACUUGUGAAGAUGCAGAAAGUAGGGUUCUGACUUCUUUCUUUGCUUUAUUUUGGAUUUAAAUUCGUGUGUAACUUGGGAUUCAGAGACCUGAGUUAAUCUCACAAAGUUCCUCUAAUGAGAACCAUAUUAAGAUACAAUAUUCCAGCUGGCUGGGAAACAUUUGAAUGGAUGAAGAUUACAGAGGAAUACUCUUUGUCUCCAUAUGUACAGCACUAGUCUAUGCCUGGAAGUCAUCUGCCAAAGGCAGGCACUAAUCAACAAAAAUCUGCUUAGACACACCGAAGAGGAACAUCUUUGAGAAUAAGGCACAAGAUACAUGUUAUGGAAGACCU